Molecule: ribosomal RNA, 1962 nt
Filed under: metagenome
Description: bacterial LSU rRNA
Rfam family: Bacterial large subunit ribosomal RNA
Source: RNAcentral
GUAAAUAAUAAAGGGCGUAUGGUGGAUGCCUAGGCUCUCAGAGGCGAUGAAGGACGUGAUAAGCUGCGAAAAGCUCCGUUUAGGUGCAAAUAACCUUUGAUGCGGAGAUCUCCGAAUGGGAUAACCCAAUAUGUUGAAGACAUAUUAUACCGUAAGGUAGGCAAACGCAGGGAACUGAAACAUCUAAGUACCUGCAGGAGAAGAAAACAAACGUGAUUCCCCCAGUAGCGGCGAGCGACCGGGGAUAAGCCCAAACCGUUAUUGUUUCGGCAGUAGCGGGGUAGUAGGACUGCGACAUUGAUGAAAUAAAUGAAAUGGAACACCUUGGAAAAUGUGAUCACAGAGGGUGAUAAUCCCGUACAUGUAAGUUUAUGAAUCAUAGCAGACUCCUGAGUAAGUCGGGACACGUGUAAUCCUGACCGAAUCCGCCGGGACCAUCCGGCAAGGCUAAAUACUCCUGAGAGACCGAUAGUGAACCAGUACCGUGAGGGAAAGGUGAAAAGCACUUCGAACAGAAGAGUGAAAUAGUCCCUGAACCCAUACGCCUACAAGCAGUCGGAGCCGCUUCGUGCGGUGACGGCGUGCCUUUUGCAUAAUGAGCCUACGAGUUACUCAUCACCAGCGAGGUUAAGUACUUCAGGUACGUAAGCCGAAGCGAAAGCGAGUCUGAAUAGGGCGUCAAGUUGGUGGUGGUAGACGCGAAACCUUAGUGAUCUACCCAUGGGCAGGGUGAAGGUUUGGUAACACAAACUGGAGGCCCGAACCGGUAAACGUUGAAAAGUUUUCGGAUGACCUGUGGGUAGGGGUGAAAGGCCAAUCAAACUGGGAAAUAGCUCGUACUCUCCGAAAUGCAUUUAGGUGCAGCCUCUGUUGUUUUGUUCUAGAGGUAGAGCUACUGAUUGGAUGCGAGGGCUUCACCGCCUAUCAAAUCCGGCCAAACUCCGAAUGCUAGAACAUGAAGACAGGGAGUGAGCCAGCGGGUGCUAAGGUCCGUUGACGAAAGAGGGAGAACUCAGACCAUCAGCUAAGGUCCCCAAUUAUAUGCUAAGUUGGAAUUAAAACGGGGUGGGACUGCUUAGACAGCUAGGAUGUUGGCUUGGAAGCAGCCAUUCAUUUAAAGAGUGCGUAACAGCUCACUAGUCGAGCGGUCCUGCAUGGAUAAUACGCGGGCAUAAGCAUAUAACCGAAGCUAUGGGAUUGUAGAUGAUACAAUCGGUAGGAGAGCAUUCCAUUCAGCAUAGAAGCAGUAUCGUGAGGUAUUGUGGAGCGGAUGGAAAAGCAAAUGUAGGCAUAAGUAACGAUAAUGCGGGUGAGAACCCCGCACGCCGAAAGAUCAAGGAUUCCCCGGCAAUGUCAAUCAUCCGGGGGUAAGUCGGAUCCUAAGGGUAAGCCGAGUGGCGAUCCCGAUGGCAAACAGGUUAAUAUUCCUGUACUGAUCAUAACUGCGAUGCAGCGACGCAGAGGUGACACUGCUGCGUACUGACGGAAUAGUACGUUGAAACCCGUAUUCUUUGAUACCGGUAGUGAAGCACGCCGGUAGAGAUGAAAGGUGAUAGUACCGCAAUGCUUCGGUUGCGCGGAUAAUGCAGGUAAGCUGACUGCCAAGAAAACCUGCUAAGCUUCAGGUAAUGAUCAUCCGUACUGUAAACGGACACACGUGAUCAGGUAGAAAAUACUAAGGCGCUCGAGAGAUUCAUGGUUAAGGAACUAGGCAAAAUGGUCCUGUAACUUCGGGAUAAAGGACGCUCUUGUGAAAGAGCCGCAGAUAAUAGGCCCAGGCGACUGUUUACCAAAAACACAUGGCUAUGCUAAUUCGCAAGAAGAUGUAUAUGGCCUGACACCUGCCCGGUGCCGGAAGGUUAAGAGGAGAGCUCAGAGGUAACUCGAAGGUUUGAAUUGAAGCCCCGGUAAACGGCGGCCGUAACUAUAACGGUCCUAAGGUAGCGAAAUUCCUUGUCGGGU